Molecule: ribosomal RNA, 224 nt
Filed under: Phocaeicola plebeius
Lineage: Bacteria; Pseudomonadati; Bacteroidota; Bacteroidia; Bacteroidales; Bacteroidaceae
Description: Bacteroides plebeius partial 23S ribosomal RNA
Rfam family: Bacterial large subunit ribosomal RNA
Source: RNAcentral
GAUAAGGAAAGUAGGAAAGGGCGCAUGGCGGAUGCCUUGGCUCUCGGAGGCGAUGAAGGACGUGAUAAGCUGCGAUAAGUCACGGGGAGGUGCAAAUAACCUUUGAUCCGUGAAUCUCCGAAUGGGACAACCCGAUAUCCUGAAGGGAUAUCACCUUACAUAGUAAGGAGCUAACGCAGGGAACUGAAACAUCUUAGUACCUGCAGGAAAAGAAAAUAACAAUG